This 1085-nucleotide long non-coding RNA is filed under the name Felis catus (domestic cat). RNAcentral describes it as "lncRNA (ENSFCAG00000042505.2)". The record is from RNAcentral. Lineage: Eukaryota; Metazoa; Chordata; Mammalia; Carnivora; Felidae.
CUCCUACAAACUCCUCUUAAGCACAGAAGAGGUUGAGAGGAAGGCUUGCCAAGCAAGGGUGUUCUCUCCGCAGUCUGCCUCUUGCAGGCUGACAAAGCAGCCGAGUUACAAGAGAGGAGGGCUCUUUGCCCCUGGAAGUCUUUAGAGUGGGGCUCAGUUUCCUUCUGUAUGAGCCCUCCCGCUAUGUUCUCUGUCGACACAGGCAGGCAUGGGGCAACCCUUAGGCUCCACAAAAAUAACCUAAUAACAGCUUGGCCAGAGCGCCCCAUCUUUCCCGAGCCCCACAAAGAGACUUGGAUGAUGAAGCAACCACUUGCCACCAAAACAGCAGUUACCGCCCCCCACCCCCCCACCCCAGGAGCUCAGGAUCAUCGACAAGCUGCCUGCUAGGGACUUGAAAUAGGAAGAAAAAAACAACAACCCCACAGAACUACAAAAAAGAGAGAACAGACAAAGAGGACUGUUGUAAAAAUAAGAAGCUUUGAAGAAUCUGAAGCAGAUGUUAUGCUGGGAGCUAGUAUGUAUUAUAUACCACCUGUGCCCACUUAAUUCCAUCCAAAAUCAUUUCCUCCACAGUUACCAUGAAGAGAGAUGGAAAUUCAAGGAUCUAAAAAUAUUUGGUAGAAGGAAAGGGAGGAAGAAAGUGAAAGGCUGGCAGACCUCCCCAUCAGGGAAUGAAGAGAAGCAAGAGGAAGUUAAAAAAUAUAUAUAUGGAACGUUGGAUCCCCUCCCCCCAAUUUAUGUAUAUACUAUUUUCUACACACUUUUAAAAUAAAGGCUCUUAAAAUUAAAAUCAUAAAUGAGUGUAAAGUAAGAAAAGUUAAGUAUCCCUGCUCUUCACCCCUUCCUACUUCAUUCUCAAUGGGUAAUCUCUGAUAACAAUUUAAUGCAACAUUGUAACUAUCUUUAUGCAUUUAUCUAUCUACUUAUAUAUUUUAACUCAUUUAAUCCUCACAAUAACUCUGAAGUGGUACAAUUAUUACCCCCGUUUUUCAAUACCAAAAGUGAGGACUGUAUGUGACAUAAUUUGCCCCAAAUCUCAAUUUACUGAGCAGUACGUCUAGCAUUUUUAACUCAGUUUGACU